GUUGGCUGCCAGACUGCCUUGGGCUAGGAUCGUGUAUUGAUCCAAGAUAAGCAGGGUUGGGCUGGAGCAGUACUUGGAGGGGUGACCUCCAAGGGUCAUCCAGGGCUGCUGGAG
RNAcentral lists this ribosomal RNA (114 nucleotides) under Chelonoidis abingdonii (Abingdon island giant tortoise). Lineage: Eukaryota; Metazoa; Chordata; Testudines; Testudinidae. The record is from RNAcentral.